GAUCCUGGCUCAGGAUGAACGCUAGCUACAGGCUUAACACAUGCAAGUCGAGGGGCAGCAUGGUCUAGCAAUAGACUGAUGGCGACCGGCGCACGGGUGAGUAACACGUAUCCAACCUACCGGCUAUUCCGGGAUAGGCCUUUCGAAAGAAAGAUUAAUACCGGAUAGUAUAGCGAGAAGGCAUCUUCUUGCUAUUAAAGAAUUUCGAUAACCGAUGGGGAUGCGUUCCAUUAGUUUGUGG
RNAcentral lists this ribosomal RNA (241 nucleotides) under uncultured bacterium. Its description in RNAcentral is "partial 16S ribosomal RNA". It matches the Rfam family "Bacterial small subunit ribosomal RNA", at positions 15 to 251 of the family's 1533-position model. The record is from RNAcentral.